Molecule: long non-coding RNA, 219 nt
Filed under: Mytilus galloprovincialis (Mediterranean mussel)
Lineage: Eukaryota; Metazoa; Mollusca; Bivalvia; Mytilida; Mytilidae
Source: RNAcentral
GGUCUAAUGAACUUAAAAUUUUUUUUUGCCUUUGAGCAAUUCACUAUGCUGUUGAAUAUUAAUCCUCUCAAAAAAAUGUUUGAAGAAAUUUUCUUUUUAUUUAUGAAAUCUGAAAUGAGAAAAAUUUAAACCCCCCCCCUUUUUUUUCACAUCCCCGUUUCCCUUUUUCCAAAACUGAUAUCAAUUCAAAUUUCUAAUGGAGUUUGCAACAAUAACUAC